Molecule: long non-coding RNA, 823 nt
Filed under: Chrysemys picta bellii (western painted turtle)
Lineage: Eukaryota; Metazoa; Chordata; Testudines; Emydidae
Description: lncRNA (ENSCPBG00000028051.1)
Source: RNAcentral
UCCCUCUCAUAGUUUCAUAGAUUUUAAGAUGAAAAGGGAACCAUUAUGAUCAUCUAGUCUGACCUCCUGAAUGGCACAGACCAUUGAACCUCACACAGUGACUCCUGCAUCAAGCCCAUGACUGCUGUUUGAGCUAUAGUGUAUCUCUUUGAAACACAUCCAGUCUAGAUGUAAAGAGUUCAAGUGAUCCUCUUCUCCUUAACUUUGUCCUCAUGGGUUUCUGCUUCCAAACUACCUAACUGGGUGGGAAGUGGAGUCAGUCUAUAUGUAUAUGCUAGGCCUUUCACCAAUAUUGUGUUUUUUGCUUCCAGUAGAUGAUGCUAUAAUAACUAGCUAUUCUGAUAACUGCAACAAGACUGGAGAACAGGAAUUACUCUGUCAACAAAUGGAGGCACUGGUGAGUAUGUUUCCCUUCCAUCUAUAAGAAGGCUUUUCAACCACAAUUUUUCUCAGUGAAAAAUCGAAUCGUAACUCAGACUUUUAUCACAUUAGAUGGCGGUUCCAUCCUCCCUUCCAGUGACAUGCUCAGUAAACAUGACUUAAAGACGACAGGAUCUCAGUGGAGGACUGACUUUCCUAUCCAUUUGCCAGGGGUUGGAAACAGCUACUGUGUGUCCACAUUCCAUCUCAACACUUCUCUGAAGCUACUAUUUUGUUCUGCAGAAUCUCAGGUUUCAUUGUUUUAAAUCUCUAAGUUUUAUGAUUGUGAAGGAAGUCUCAAAAAUAUGAACUGAUCAUAACUGAUGCAGAAAUGAAUCUGUAGAGAGCCUAGAACAAUACUUCUAAGAAAUGUGAAUUGUCCCACUCAGCUCAAUGAGGUGUU